Molecule: ribosomal RNA, 441 nt
Filed under: uncultured bacterium
Lineage: Bacteria
Description: partial 16S ribosomal RNA
Rfam family: Bacterial small subunit ribosomal RNA
Source: RNAcentral
CCUACGGGAGGCAGCAGUGGGGAAUAUUGCACAAUGGGGGAAACUCUGAUGCAGCAACGCCGCGUGAAGGAAGACGGUUCUCGGAUUGUAAACUUCUGUUUUUAGUGAUGUAUAAUGAUGGUAGCUUAGGAGCAAGUCACGGCGAACUACGUGACAGCAGCCGCGGUCAUACGGAGGAGGCAAGCGUUAUCCGGAAUUACUGGGGGUAAAGGGAGCGCAGGCGGGUAGCCAAGUCAGUUGUGAAAGCUUCGGGCUCAACUUGUAGACUGCAGUUGAAACUGGUAUUCUUGAGUGAAGUAGAGGUGGGCGGAAUUCGGGGUGUAGCGGUGAAAUGCGUAGAUAUUCCGAAGAACUCCGAUUGCGAAGGCAGCCAACUGGACUGUAACUGACACUGAGGCUCGAAAGUGUGGGGAGCAAACAGGAUUAGAUACCCGGGUAGUC